GACGAACGCUGGCGGCGUGCUUAACACAUGCAAGUCGAACGGUAAGGCCCUUCGGGGUACACGAGUGGCGAACGGGUGAGUAACACGUGGGCGAUCUGCCCUGCACUUCGGGAUAAGCCUGGGAAACUGGGUCUAAUACCGGAUAGGACCACUGCCUGCAUGGGUGGUGGUGGAAAGCUUUUGCGGUGUGGGAUGGGCCCGCGGCCUAUCAGCUUGUUGGUGGGGUGAUGGCCUACCAAGGCGACGACGGGUAGCCGGCCUGAGAGGGUGACCGGCCACACUGGACUGAGAUACGGCCCAGACUCCUACGGGAGGCAGCAGUGGGGAAUAUUGCACAAUGGGCGCAAGCCUGAUGCAGCGACGCCGCGUGAGGGAUGACGGCCUUCGGGUUGUAAACCUCUUUCAGCACCGACGAAGCGCAAGUGACGGUAGGUGCAGAAGAAGGACCGGCCAACUACGUGCCAGCAGCCGCGGUAA
RNAcentral lists this ribosomal RNA (477 nucleotides) under uncultured bacterium. RNAcentral describes it as "partial 16S ribosomal RNA". It matches the Rfam family "Bacterial small subunit ribosomal RNA", at positions 28 to 523 of the family's 1533-position model. The record is from RNAcentral.